UAGGGAAUCUUCCACAAUGGACGCAAGUCUGAUGGAGCAACGCCGCGUGAGUGAAGAAGGUUUUCGGAUCGUAAAGCUCUGUUGUUGGUGAAGAAGGAUAGAGGCAGUAACUGGUCUUUAUUUGACGGUAAUCAACCAGAAAGUCACGGCUAACUACGUGCCAGCAGCCGCGGUAAUACGUAGGUGGCAAGCGUUGUCCGGAUUUAUUGGGCGUAAAGCGAGCGCAGGCGGAAUGAUAAGUCUGAUGUGAAAGCCCACGGCUCAACCGUGGAACUGCAUCGGAAACUGUCAUUCUUGAGUGCAGAAGAGGAGAGUAGAACUCCAUGUGUAGC
Molecule: ribosomal RNA, 332 nt
Filed under: uncultured bacterium
Lineage: Bacteria
Description: partial 16S ribosomal RNA
Rfam family: Bacterial small subunit ribosomal RNA
Source: RNAcentral